RNAcentral lists this transfer RNA (75 nucleotides) under Candidatus Levybacteria bacterium RBG_16_35_6. RNAcentral's name for it is "tRNA-Ile". It matches the Rfam family "tRNA". From Rfam's summary of the family: Transfer RNA (tRNA) molecules are approximately 80 nucleotides in length. Their secondary structure includes four short double-helical elements and three loops (D, anti-codon, and T loops). Lineage: Bacteria; Candidatus Levyibacteriota. The record is from RNAcentral.
GCGCCUGUAACUCAGUGGUAGAGUGCUACUCUUAUAAAGUAGAUGCCCUUGGUUCGAUCCCAAGCAGGCGCACAA